Molecule: ribosomal RNA, 271 nt
Filed under: uncultured bacterium
Lineage: Bacteria
Description: partial 16S ribosomal RNA
Rfam family: Bacterial small subunit ribosomal RNA
Source: RNAcentral
GACGAACCGUACAAACGUUAUUCGGAAUUACUGGGCUUAAAGGGUGCGUAGGCGGCGCGGAAAGUUGGGUGUGAAAUCCCUCGGCUCAACCGAGGAAUGGCGCCCAAAACUCCCGUGCUUGAGGAAGAUAGAGGUGAGCGGAACUUCGGGUGGAGCGGUGAAAUGCGUUGAUAUCCGAAGGAACGCCAGUGGCGAAAGCGGCUCACUGGAUCUUUUCUGACGCUGAGGCACGAAAGCUAGGGUAGCGAACGGGAUUAGAAACCCCGGUAGU